RNAcentral lists this ribosomal RNA (426 nucleotides) under uncultured bacterium. RNAcentral's name for it is "bacterial SSU rRNA". It matches the Rfam family "Bacterial small subunit ribosomal RNA", at positions 354 to 796 of the family's 1533-position model. The record is from RNAcentral.
GUGGGGAAUCUUGCGCAAUGGGCGAAAGCCUGACGCAGCAACGCCGCGUGCGGGAAGAAGGCUCUCGGGUUGUAAACCGCUUUCAGCAGGAACGAAAAUGACGGUACUUGCAGAAGAAGGUGCGGCCAACUACGUGCCAGCAGCCGCGGUGACACGUAGGCACCAAGCGUUGUCCGGAUUUAUUGGGCGUAAAGAGCUCGUAGGCGGUUCGGUAAGUCAGGUGUGAAAACUUUGGGCUCAACCCAAAGCCUGCAUCUGAUACUGCUGUGACUAGAGUUCGGUAGGGGAGCGGGGAAUUCCUAGUGUAGCGGUGAAAUGCGCAGAUAUUAGGAGGAACACCGGUGGCGAAGGCGCCGCUCUGGGCCGAAACUGACGCUGAGGAGCGAAAGCGUGGGUAGCAAACAGGAUUAGAUACCCGGGUAGUCC